This 6783-nucleotide unclassified non-coding RNA is filed under the name Leishmania donovani. Its description in RNAcentral is "gene:LdHU3.08.0460(CDS-product:hypothetical_prote in_conserved)". Lineage: Eukaryota; Euglenozoa; Kinetoplastea; Trypanosomatida; Trypanosomatidae. The record is from RNAcentral.
UCGGAAGUGCUUGUUCGCUCGGCUUUCGCUGCUCUUGCGUGUGUUGUGGCGCUGAAGUUCCGCGGAGCACACACACGCACACAUACACACACGGCGCGCACACGACAAGAGAACUCGAGGGCACACAUAUGUGUACGUCGUUCCGCGCGCAGGAACACGUAGAGGCGGUGCAGUUGCAUCCUUACCGCCGCCUAUCUCUUAGUCCCCAUCGGCCGCACCCCUUCUUCCCCCUCUCCCUGUGCGCGUGUAUGUGCCCCUGGCAGUGUGCGCGAGCUCUAGAUCAGGUCUCACCUUCUCCCUCUCUCUGCGGUCUCGCUUGCUCUGCGUAGAUUCGGCCUUCUCCGUUUUUCGGAGCCCCGUUGGCGAGCAGAGCGCCUCGCCUCUACCUCCCAGCGCCGCCGCCAUGGACGUCUCCACCUUCUCCUCCUCGGCGCAGGAUGAUGCACGCGUGACGUCGGCAUCGCUGUCUGGCGAUGAUGCGGCCACAGCGGAGGCAUCACUGUAUCCUUCGUCGUCUACUCCACUAGCGGCAGCGGCAGCGUCAUCCUUGUCACCUGUGGGGAUGGGCAGUGCUACUACUGCCGACGUUGGUCGCUGGGACGCGACCACCAUUCUUGAAGCGCUGCGGUGGAUGAGUGGUGCUGAAAGCAGCGGCUCUCGGUGGCAAGGGCGACCGCUUGAGAUUGGCGAUCCGCCGGCCAACCGAAGCUGCACCCCGGUUGAGUCAAGCAUGGGGGCGCCAAAUGUAUCGCCCCAGGCAGCGCUGCCGCACUCUGCAGCAGUGCUUCCCACGAGCCAAGAGCACUGCAGCAGGUCACGGGCUCCCGCGGCGAGCGAGCCGAUCCCGUCAGCGGCCAUUGCAGCCGCGCAGCAAGGCCCUUCCUGUUUCGCCCCCUCCUCUUCUCCUCCCGCGCCGCUCGGUCAAGAAGACGCGACGGUGUCACCGCACGAUCACACGCCGACGCAGCGCCGCAUCGCUGCUGCGCACGCACAUCGCAUGGAGAGGUGCGACGGCGUUGAAGUGCAGCCCCAUAUCCGCGCUGACACGGGCCCCACCGCGGGCGUCGACUCUAUCGGGCUCGUGUCCUCCAUUUUUGCCUCACGAAGCGCGGCGACAGCCGCCUCGCGCACGUCACCGCAGGAGAGCGAGGUACCUCCAGCGGCUGCGGUGCGGCGAGCUCGAUCCGCCCCACUCCAAGCACUCGCAUCUGCUGCUGUCAGUGCUGCCUGGGGACCUGUUGCCGCGCCUCAAAGUGCGGCCGUGGGCACAGGGGUCGGUGGUACGCUGUGGCAGCAGGCGUUUGCAGCGCACGCGGAGACGCUGCUGCGCGAGACGCAGCAGCAGGUGGAUGAGCUGCGCCGGUACCAGCAGAAGGCCGCGCGAGAGGCCCAGCGGGCUGACGCAGUAGCAGCCGCGAACCGUGCACUGGAAGUCCAGCUCGCUGAAGCGGACGCGAAGCGUGCCGAGGACCGUGCAGCACACGAGAGUGCUGUCAACGCGCUGUCGCAGCAGGUGCUGCGACUCGAGGAGGCUGUUGGGGUGCUGCGGCGCACAAAACUGGAGCUGCAGCGGCAGAUCAAGGGGGCUCAGACAGCAGCGGCACAGCAGGAAGCGGUGCACCGGCGUGAGCUGCGAGAGGUGCGAAGCGCAUUCGAAAGUGAACUGAAGCGAAUGCGCGCCGAGCAGCACCUGCAGGCAGAUGAGUGGCGCCACGAGCGGCACCGCCUCGAGGAAAAACUAGUCGAGUGGGAUGUGACGGAGGUCGCGGUGUCCACGCAGCAGAUGCAGCUGUUGACGCGUCGCGCCGAGCUCGAGCGUAAGCACGAGGCCGUCGCAGCUGCUUCGCUGGGUGCGGCGCCGACGCCUGCAUAUGAAGCCGAGGCAGAGCGCGCCGCCGCUGUUCCUCGCGUGGAUGCGGCCACCAGCACUGACGUGGUGGCGUUGCCCGCCGCUCAAGCGAUACCGCAAGAGAGCGAUGCCUCGCCAUACACGCGUGUGCAUCGUGACGUGCUGGCGCAGCAGCAGCUGCGGGAACAGACCAUGCUGUCUGAGCUGUCCAUUGCUGACGCCCGCAUUCAGCAAGAGUCGAAGCAGCGACGACUCGCCGAGGAGCGCGUGGCCGAACUGCUGGAGCAGAGCGAGCAGCUGCGGGAGGCACUGACGAAUGCCGAGGCGGCCGCUGCCAACACGGAACGCGUGUCUGAGGUGGCGAGGCAAGAAACAGCGGUGGCGGUCACAGCCAAGGCGGCCGGCGGCAGAGACAAUGCCGGUCACCAGAUGGGUCGGCGCGACGCCGUGGCGCACGGCACCGAGCAUGAUCUGCGAACGCAGCAGAGACUGCUGCAGGAGAUUCAAUACGAGUACACUGCACUUCGUCGAGAGAGCUCCGCCCUCUUUGAGCGGUACAGAGAGCAGCAACGUUGUGAGACGGAGCGGUGGGCUGCCGUACGCUCCGCCGUUGGUGCUGUCCUCCAUGUGGCGGGCUUACACGACGUUCGGAGUACUCUCGAGCAUGCUGCUGCUGCUGCUGCUGCGGAUACGUCAAAUCUCAGCUGCCUUGGCGAAGUCCUCGCAGACUCCAGUGAGGCGUCGCUCAAUGCCACCCUGGCCGCGCUCGACACUCUCGCCUCCACACUGCGCUCGCAGCAGCAGGCCGCCGCAGCGGACGAAGCGGCGCUGCAGCAGCAGCGACGGUUGUCAACGCUCGAGGAGGCGUUGCGCGUGGCGGAGGCUCAGAACGAGGCGCGCAUCGCGUCUCUCUCGGCCACCGAGGCCCAGUUGCACGAGUCGCAGCGCGAGCUUUCGGCAUGGCAGAGGCGCCACAACGAUCUAGCGGCUCGCCAGGACGUUUAUGAUGCGGCGUGGCGAGCGGCAGAGGUGCAGCUGAAGCAGAUCAUAGGCAUUCUGCGGCGUGCGCUCCGAGAGUACGCUCAGCCCCUGUCUGCAUCGUUGGCACGGCUGAGCUCUCCGGGUGAUGAUGCCGACAGCGCAGGCCGCCGAGUCACGAGGAGGAGGAGCGCUCGCGCGGUGAAGCGGCGGUCGCAGAGUUCGCCCGCCUCUGCCGCGUCGCUCGACGGUAUCGAGGACAGUGAAGGCCACGCUGCCAUGCUGCCAACAACGGCUGACGCUGCGCCUGUGUGGGCAUCCGAUGGCGACGCGAUUGCAGACGCGGAUUUGGAUGACCUGCUUCAAGACGCUUUCGUGCUUCCCAAGGUGGCCGGCGAGGGGGACAAGAUGGAUCGCCCUGAAGCCGUUGCCGACGGUGAAGGCGAAUCGCUCUCGCGGCGGCGCACCACACGGACUGCGAACCUGCCCCAGUCAUCGGCGGCUACGCUCGUCGUCGUGGAAUCCACGGACGGUGGUAGUGAUGCAUCACACAGUGAAGUGCGUCGUGAUAUGGCGGUAGUGGUGUGGGGUCUGUUGAAGUUGCUCACGGCGUGGCGCGAUCGCCAGCACGCUCUCGUAGAGGCACGCAAGGCGUUGCAACGGCAACUCGCAGAUAUGACGGCGAAGAACACCGCCCUGGUAGAGGAAAGGCGAGAGGCGGCGACACGCUGUCAACGACAGCUGCGCCUCUCUCGUGCCGCGGAGCAGCGCCGCGCGCACCAGCUCGAGCAGGCACACAAAGAAUUGGAGGAUGUGAAACGAAAGCACAUGCUCGACAGCGCGCAAGCACACCAGAAGGCGGCCGAGUGGGAAGGCGAACGCGAAGCGCUCCGCCGCCGUCUACGCGUCGCCGAGGAGCAGCUGAACCGCGCCGAGCAGGCGCUCGUGGAGGCAGAUGUGGAUCACAACGCUCAGCACGCUUCGCAGGAAAUGCUGCAGCAUGCAUUAAGUGACGUCACGGCGGCGCGCGAUCGUCUGGAGCGCCGUCAGGCUGACCUUUGCGUGCACAUCGAGGAUCUAGAAACACGACUGUCGGUCACAGAGCGGACGCAGACGGACCUGCACGCGCUGAUCACAACAUCCGUGGCGUUCAUCGUGCGACUCUUGGCGGACCACGAACAGCUGCAGGAACACUAUCGAGUUCUGCGCACGCUCGCGUGGACGGAUGCGCAGACGGCGAGGAUGGUCGAGCGCGUACUAGAGAACUGCUGCCCAGAAAGAAGUGAGCAAGCGACGGCACUGGUCGGUGAGAGGGGGCUCCCCUGGUCAACGGGAGCUGCAAGUGGAGUAUCCGCUUCCCCUGCGGGGGCCGCGCCGCACUCAGCGACUUCUUCUACGCUUCUCCGUAUAGCUGGACAUGCUGUGCGAGCGGUGUUGCGGCUUUCGCGACUCCUGACAGCGCGCCAGCGUCUGAGGAGUCACGCCGGUACGCGCCGCAGCGAUGGCUCCAUCCUCUCGCCCUCGGCAGCAGCAGCGGAGCCGGCGUCACUGCAGCCGCUCUUACUGGCGCUCUCCUCUGCCUUUGCGUGGGGUGCUGCGACUCCGGCGCUCAACAACGCGGCGGCCUCACUUCACGAUAGCCGUCUACGGCGCUACGCGACACGCCCGGACUCCUGCGUGCUCCCGGUUGUCCAUCUCCCAGCACCGCUGGAACUUGCAGCCGUCGCGCACAAUGAGGCGGCAGAGGUGGAGGCCGGAGGGCAUGCUGGAUUGUCCAAGGUCCGCUUCGACCUCCGCAGUCGCGCGUGCGAGGAUGAGGAGACGUACAUCGGUGCGGACCACCACCAGCAGCGGCAGCUCGUGCAGCUGCUCACCGUUGCGCAGAUUGAUAUGCAGGCUCCCACGACGCGACACCUGUGUGAUGGGGUGUUGGCAGCCAGCUCAGCGAGUGCGCGCGCUACGGUGGAGCUCCUGCAGCUCGCCCAAGUGCGCGAAGCCUUGAGUGCAACGUUGUUGAGGCGCCGAGGUCGGAAUCGCCUGUCGAUCGCGAAACCACAGCCGGUGCUUCCGGUGCCGGAUCUGCGCCCCCUCCUUCCAGACCGACUCGCCGCGCUCCUUCAGUCACACCUGCAGCGGGCCGUCACGCAGACCUGCCAAGUGGCGGAGUCGCACAUGCUAGUGCAGCGGUUGAUGCACCACAACGAAACGCUAGUGUCCGCGCUGAAGAUGCGGACUAACGAGCACGCCGCCGCCUCCGCGGAGGUGCGGUCUCUGACAUCGCAGCUGCAGCUGCAGCAGGCGGAGCGAGCGGAGCGCACCGCCGUGCAGGAGAGGCUGGUCGAGGUGCGCGCAUCACUCCUGCGGGAGCGCGAGCUGCGCCGCGCGGCGGAGGCGCGUCUGGCGGAGUUGCAACAGGCGCGACUUCAGUGGCUCAGCGAUCGAGAGCAGUACAAGCGUGAGGUGUACUCGUUGAACAUGGAGUUGGCCAGCACCUCUGUGGGAGGUGCGUCGCCUGCUGGCGGGGGGACGCGCCCUCUUCCUCCUUUUGCACAUGGAGGUGGUGCUGGGCCGGCAUUGGCCACAUCUGCACUGUCGAUACAAGUGGAUAACACAACUAUGUCGGACGCCGCGCGCCGCCCUGCGGCACCGCCGUCACACCUGGAUGCACUCGCGGACAGUGUGAUGGACGGGAGUGCGCUGUGCGAGCAGGAUUUUGCGCACGGCAGCCAUCCGCAGGUCUGGCGCGCAGCAGCUUUCGCGGCGGAGGUGGACUACCAGCGGAACUCCGAGAACGUCUACUACCACGAGCUGCUCCGAAACGGCCAUGAGCGCGACAGCCACGCUCGCGCCGGGCAUCGUCAUGGAGGCAAUAUUGGCGCACACGCGGACGCCCCAAAGUGGAGUAGCGCGCAUGGUGAGACACCCCCGUUGCGGACGCCGCAUUACCGCCCCCGUACCAACUUGCCCACACCGCAGGAUCUCGCCGAGAGCGGAUCGCCGGACGAUACCCGCUCUGCUGGUGCUGCUCCUGGUGCUGGCGGUGGUGGAGGAGGGGUUCGGCCAACCAGCGAUACCGAUGCGUCCCUGUGGAACGAACAGCGACAGCCGCACGGUCCAUCAUGCGCGAUAGGCCUUUCGCCGACAGCGGCCAGUAUGGACACACUGAAGACGACAACGCCUGCGGAACGGCCGCCUGCACCGCAGCCGCUGCUAACUUCGGCGAACGCGCUGGAGUUGUACGUGCCAAGCGUGGCUCGCCAGCGUGAGAAGCCCCGCAGUCACAACGCCGUGAACUGUGAGGAGCGACGGCUGGACACCACCGCCAAGAUGACCCGAGCGAAGCGAAAGACUAUCAACAACGAAGGGUUCGGCAUCGUGAGCCACGCUGCCGCGACUGCAUCGCCAUCUUCAUCAUUUCUGGCGGAUGCGCCAGCACCAGAGUCGGAUGUUUGCGCCGCAACGCCGCCACCUCUCUCGCCACCGCCGCCACUGCGAUCCACAGCGGACACGGAGACGCCGGCGGAGGAACGCCGCGGAUCGACGCAUCAGCAGCUACGGAGGUCUGCGGCGAAUGUGGUGGAGCCACCGUCCGCAGUCGCCGCCAACCACGGAUCCACUGCCUCCACGGCCGCGUCCUUUUCGGCUCCGCGACCGCCGCCACCGCACUCUCCAUCGAAGGGCGUGAGCGCCUCUGCGUCGGCCGACAUGCGCACAGAGGCGCCUACAUUAUCGAGGGAGGAGUUCGACUCCACUGGCCAACCUACAGCAGCUGCGGGCGUGACCCGCCACGUCAGCGGUCCGCUCUACUUCCGUGCCCGGCCAGCGCGGUAGCGGUGCCAGCCAUUUCCGUCGCCGCGCGCUUCCAGAUCUGCAGUAGUAUUCACGAACCCCGUUCCUUUCCCUUACUGUUCUUGUUUUCCUGCGAUCUGGCGGACAGGGCGUCCCCUCGCGAUUUU